RNAcentral lists this ribosomal RNA (696 nucleotides) under Triticum aestivum (bread wheat). Its description in RNAcentral is "partial small subunit ribosomal RNA". Lineage: Eukaryota; Viridiplantae; Streptophyta; Magnoliopsida; Poales; Poaceae. The record is from RNAcentral.
GGUGACAAAGCGCUGCGGCUGCUCCGGCAUGCGGUGGCAGGGCUCGACAUUGGGGUUCUCGUAAACAACGCCGGUCUAGCAAAGCCAUGCGCGGUGUAUCUGCACGAGGCGGACGUGGAGGCCUGGGUGAGGAUGAACUGGGUGAACCUGUGGGCACUGACGGAGGUGACGGCGGCGGUGCUGCCAGGGAUGGUGGAGCGGGGCAGGGGUGCCAUCGUCAACAUCGGCUGCGGGACCACCCUGGCCAUCCCAUCGUUCCCGCUACUUUCCAUCUAUGCCGCAUCCAAACUAUACGUUGCUCAGUACUCCAGAAGCCUUCACGUUGAGUACAAGGGCAAAGGUAUCGAUGUACAAUGUCAGCCGCCGUUGUCCGUGGAGACCAACAUGACGUUGGGGGUGGCGGCAUCCCGCAAGCGACGAAGCCUCUUGUCCCGUCUAAUCAUGCUGACAUCGGACGAGUAUGCCAGAGCGGCGGUGUGCUGGAUCGGGCAUGACCCACUCUGCAUGCCUAACCCGAGCCACCGGCUCCAGUGGUGCAUCUGCUAUGUUGUGCCCGACUGGGUGCUCGAUGAGUUGUGCCUCCGGGUGAACCUAUGGCUUAGAGUUCGUUUCCAGCGCCUCAGCAUCGUCACCUAUCCUAAGUCUCUCUUGUCUUUCUCGUGGUGUUUGAAUUCAUGGUACGCUCUAGCUAGUUAG